This is a long non-coding RNA of Dipodomys spectabilis (banner-tailed kangaroo rat), 1333 nucleotides long. RefSeq lists it as uncharacterized. NCBI's taxonomy places the organism in Eukaryota, Metazoa, Chordata, Mammalia, Rodentia, Heteromyidae. The transcript has 2 exons. The record is from RefSeq and is a predicted model, not a curated record.
AUAUGUAAGACUGUUUAAGAUUAACUUUCUGUCUCCUGACUGAAGAUUUACUUGCCUUGCCUGUAUGCUGUAUAUAAGCAUGUGGUGCUUUUAAUAAAUUUUGUCUAUACCCGCAUGGUGUGGUCCACUCUCUGCCUACCAGACAUUGGAUUCCUGGGUCUCGCUGUGUGAAAAGCAACAAGUGGUGAACAACCAGGACUUGGAGCAGUUCUACUAGAAAGAUGUGGUGUCCCAUAGAAAGAGCCGCAGUGAUGGACGGAUUGCUAUAACCGUGGCUGCUGCAACCGCUGGAGUGACUGCAUACCACCGUCCAAACCAAGGACUUCGUAGAGAAGUGGCAGCGGGAUUCUCCUCAGCUGUGGACUCAUCAGAUAGAUACUGAACAGGACAUUGAAUCCCGCUUAAACACCUUACAACACGCAGUCCAGUGGCUGGGAGGCCAGCUAAUUGAGGUACAGAAACUAACCUUUAAAUGUGACUGGAGUUCAACAAAGCUGUGUUACACCCGCCCACUUCAACACUACUAACUUCACUUGGCAGGGACUUUGACACCACCUGCAGGACUUGUGGGGAAAUUUGUCUUGGGUCAUACAUCCACAGCAACAAGUCACUGAGACUUUCUCGGCACAGCUCCCUGAGGUGGGAUAUGAUGGCUUAGCUGAAGGCAUAGUAUCUGUAUUAAAUCAACUAGAUCCUCAUACCUGGUGGCAGAGUUUUACCCAUCGCGCUUUUACAGGAUUGAUUGUAUUGUGUCUUACGAAGUUUGUGCUCUUUGCACACCGCUGUCUCCAUUCCAAAAUAGCUAAAGCAUCCCUUUCACAAAAGAACCUCAUGCUUGCUGUACUACAUUUAACAAAACAAAAAACAAAAAAGGGGGAGAUGUCAGAGACCCCAGCUCCCAUGAUCCCAUCUGAGGACUUACGUGCUGUGAGGUUGUGUAUGCUGACAUGCACAGCCUUAGGGAGGAAAAAAAAAAACCUUCAAAGUCUGGGCAACAUCUGGAUGCCCAGCCAUAAGCCUCAAGGAUGGCAUGCAGAACGUGAUCUCCAGGCUCCGCUGAAUAAUCCCAUAGACAAUGCCUCGAAACUCCCUUUGUGUGUCUGAUAGCUCACCUGGACUUUGCUUGUUCUUUGUAACCUUUGAUCACUUAACACUGCUUCACUUUUGUUGACAAAGAUUAACUUCUCCUGUUUACUGAUUACAGAUUAACUCCCAUUGUCUGCACAUACGUAAGACUGUUUAAAAUUAACUUUGUCUCCUGAAGAUUUACUUGCCUUGCCUGUAUGCUGUAUAUAAGCAUGUGGUACUUUUAAUAAAUUUUGUCUAUACUGCA